RNAcentral lists this ribosomal RNA (477 nucleotides) under uncultured bacterium. RNAcentral's name for it is "bacterial SSU rRNA". It matches the Rfam family "Bacterial small subunit ribosomal RNA", at positions 37 to 507 of the family's 1533-position model. The record is from RNAcentral.
UAGCGGCAGGCUUAAUACAUGCAAGUCGUGGGGCAGCAUGAGUAGCAAUACUUGAUGGCGACCGGCAAACGGGUGAGGAACACGUACACAACCUUCCUUCAAGCGGGGAAUAGCCCAGAGAAAUUUGGAUUAAUACCCCAUAAUAUAUUUGAUAAGGCAUCUUAUUAAUAUUAAAGCUUCGGCACUUGAUGAUGGGUGUGCGGCUGAUUAGAUAGUUGGCGGGGUAACGGCCCACCAAGUCUACGAUCAGUAGCUGAUGUGAGAGCAUGAUCAGCCACACGGGCACUGAGACACGGGCCCGACUCCUACGGGAGGCAGCAGUAAGGAAUAUUGGACAAUGGACGAAAGUCUGAUCCAGCCAUGCCCGCGUGAAGGAUUAAGGUCCUCUGGAUUGUAAACUUCUUUUAUAUGGGACGAAAAAAGGGCAUUCUUGUUCACUUGACGGUACCAUAUGAAUAAGCACCGGCUAACUCCGUG